AACGAACGCUGGCGGCAGGCUUAACACAUGCAAGUCGAACGCAUCCUUCGGGAUGAGUGGCAGACGGGUGAGUAACGCGUGGGAACGUGCCCUUCAGUUCGGAAUAACCCAGGGAAACUUGGGCUAAUACCGGAUACGUGCGAGAGCAGAAAGAUUGAUCGCUGAAGGAGCGGCCCGCGCCUGAUUAGCUAGUUGGUGGGGUAAUGGCCUACCAAGGCAACGAUCAGUAUCCGGCCUGAGAGGGCGGACGGACACACUGGGACUGAGACACGGCCCAGACUCCUACGGGAGGCAGCAGUGGGGAAUUGUUCGCAAUGGGCGCAAGCCUGACGACGCAACGCCGCGUGGAGGACGAAGACCUUCGGUCGUAACU
This 373-nucleotide ribosomal RNA is filed under the name uncultured bacterium. RNAcentral's name for it is "bacterial SSU rRNA". It matches the Rfam family "Bacterial small subunit ribosomal RNA", at positions 29 to 431 of the family's 1533-position model. The record is from RNAcentral.